RNAcentral lists this ribosomal RNA (104 nucleotides) under Caerostris extrusa. Lineage: Eukaryota; Metazoa; Arthropoda; Arachnida; Araneae; Araneidae. The record is from RNAcentral.
CACCAUGCUGAAUAUACCGGUUCUCGUUAGAUCACUGAAGUCAAGCAUUAUUGGGCGCGGUCAGUACUUGGGUGGGUGACCACCUGGGAACACCGCGUGCCGUU